GAUGAACGCUGGCGGCGUGCCUAAUACAUGCAAGUCGAGCGAACAGACGAGGAGCUUGCUCCUCUGACGUUAGCGGCGGACGGGUGAGUAACACGUGGAUAACCUACCUAUAAGACUGGGAUAACUUCGGGAAACCGGAGCUAAUACCGGAUAAUAUAUUGAACCGCAUGGUUCAAUAGUGAAAGACGGUUUUGCUGUCACUUAUAGAUGGAUCCGCGCCGCAUUAGCUAGUUGGUAAGGUAACGGCUUACCAAGGCGACGAUGCGUAGCCGACCUGAGAGGGUGAUCGGCCACACUGGAACUGAGACACGGUCGAGACUCCUACGGGAGGCAGCAGUAGGGAAUCUUCCGCAAUGGGCGAAAGCCUGACGGAGCAACGCCGCGUGAGUGAUGAAGGUCUUCGGAUCGUAAAACUCUGUUAUUAGGGAAGAACAAAUGUGUAAGUAACUAUGCACGUCUUGACGGUACCUAAUCAGAAAGCCACGGCUAACUACGUG
RNAcentral lists this ribosomal RNA (497 nucleotides) under uncultured bacterium. Its description in RNAcentral is "partial 16S ribosomal RNA". It matches the Rfam family "Bacterial small subunit ribosomal RNA", at positions 28 to 507 of the family's 1533-position model. The record is from RNAcentral.